GACAGAGGGUGCAAACGUUGUUCGGAAUUACUGGGCGUAAAGCGCGUGUAGGCUGCUUCGCAAGUCGGGUGUGAAAGCCCUGGGCUCAACCUAGGAAGUGCACUCGAAACUGCGGAGCUUGAGUCCUGGAGAGGAAGGCGGAAUUCUCGGUGUAGAGGUGAAAUGCGCAGAUAUCAGGAAGAACACCCGUGGCGAAGGCGGUUGCCUGGGGCUUUGCUGACGCUGAGGCGCGAAAGCGUGGGGAGCGAUCCGG
Molecule: ribosomal RNA, 253 nt
Filed under: uncultured bacterium
Lineage: Bacteria
Description: partial 16S ribosomal RNA
Rfam family: Bacterial small subunit ribosomal RNA
Source: RNAcentral